UACGAAGGGGGCUAGCGUUGCUCGGAAUGACUGGGCGUAAAGGGCGCGUAGGCGGAUGGCACAGUCAGAUGUGAAAUUCCCGGGCUUAACCUGGGGGCUGCAUUUGAUACGUGUGAUCUAGAGUGAGGAAGAGGGUCGUGGAAUUCCCAGUGUAGAGGUGAAAUUCGUAGAUAUUGGAAAGACCACCGAUGGCGAAGGCACUCUACUGGGCCACUACUGACACUGAGAGACGAAAGCUAGGGGAGCAAAUGGG
RNAcentral lists this ribosomal RNA (253 nucleotides) under uncultured bacterium. Its description in RNAcentral is "partial 16S ribosomal RNA". It matches the Rfam family "Bacterial small subunit ribosomal RNA", at positions 524 to 776 of the family's 1533-position model. The record is from RNAcentral.